UGCUAGGACUGGGGAGCAGCAGCUUGGCAGGGAGUGCCAGGCCCUUUGGGGCUGCAGGAGGAUGUGGCAAGGCUCUUAAUGCAGCAGCUGCUUCAUGAGAAGCUCUUCUCUGCCACAGCCAAAAAAUGGUGCGCAGAUCUACCUUUCGGCAUGGCACAGUGGACUUGCAGGAACCCGGGGACAUACUGAGGGAAGAAGGAUAACUUCUCUUCCAGAAGAAAAUGUGACCAGAGCAUGAAUUACUGCUGGCCAGAACAUUGUGUGCAGGACACUGUCUCCAAAAUCUUCCCUAACCCCACCUGCUCCGUGCCAUCUUAUCUUUGCUCUCUGAAAG
Phalacrocorax carbo (great cormorant) is the source of this 334-nucleotide non-coding RNA. The record is from RefSeq and is a predicted model, not a curated record. Lineage: Eukaryota; Metazoa; Chordata; Aves; Suliformes; Phalacrocoracidae.